Long non-coding RNA from Bos taurus (domestic cattle), 1804 nucleotides. Lineage: Eukaryota; Metazoa; Chordata; Mammalia; Artiodactyla; Bovidae. The record is from Ensembl.
AGCACAGCCCCUAGGCCCAAGGCCAAGGAGGGCUGCACAACACCCAUGAGCCCCAGGACCCUCAAAGGCAUAUUCUUACCUGCUGCGGCGGCUGCUGCUGCUGCUAAAUCGCUUCAGUCGUGGCCCACUCUGUGCGACCCCGUAGAUGGCAGCCCACCAGACUCCCCCGACCCUGGGAUUCUCCAGGCAAGAACAUUGGAGUGGAUUGCCAUUUCCUUCUCCAAUGCAUGAAAGUGAAAAGUCAAAGUGAAGUCGCUCAAUUGUGUCCAACCCUCAGCAACCCCAUGGACCGCUGCUUUCCAGGCUCCUCCAUCCAUGGGAUUUUCCAGGCAAGAGUACUGGAGUGGGUUGCCAUUGCCUGCUCCCAUUCUUACCUGCUAGAGCGCUGCAUGCAUGAGGGCAGACAGCUGGAACUAACAGCUCUUCUCCAGAACAGUGGGUGGUCCCUUGUCUAGGGAAUCUUCUUGAUCCCGGGAUCGAACUUGAUCCCAGGAAUCUUCUUGAUCCCGGGAAUCUCCUGCAAUUCUCCUGCAUUACAGGCAGAUUCUUUACUGCUGAGUCACUGGGAGGGGUGUCAGUCUGCAACUAGAGGGCCUCAACAUGGUUAUUCAAGAUGUCUUGUGGUAUAGUUGCUCCACCAUCUUCCCAUACUGGAAAAGCGGAGACACCAAGAUGCACAGCUGACUCCAGAAUUUUGCUCCUGCUUCUAGGAUAGGCAAGAUGGCCAGUUAUCACCCUCCUUGUGCUCAGAAUUCUGCCAGGUGGCAGAAGCCACCUGUUCUAGGAGAGCCUUCUCUUGGGACAAGUAUGUACAUUAUAAAUGAAAAGCUUAUUUUUAGCACCCUGAAUCCAUCAGAGACCACCAAAGUGGCCUUCAUUACCCAUUCUAGCUCAGCAUGACUGGAGGGCAGAGAUGGUAGGAAAACCUCUUGAGAAACUGACACAUCUUCCUCCAAAAUUGGAUCUUUGCCUGCUUCAACUCUCAUCUCUGUUUGCCAAAUAAAUAUUUAGGUACCUAAAACCUGGCAGAGUUUUAGCUCUGAGGACCCAGCAAUAAUCAAGAGACCCCAUGCCAGCCCUAUGGUUCUCAUAAUCGGUGAGGAGGAUAUCACAAAAUAACCACAGAUUUUGAAAUGAUCGAAAGUGCAGUGACCCUCAUAAUCUCUCCUGACACCUCGGCUCCAGCCUCAGUCUCAGUUUCUGUGCCCAUUUGAAGAAGUUUUGUUUCAAGUCCUUCGUGUCUGAGUCCCUCUGUGUCACCUGUAUCGUGACCAAAAAGUUGGUCGACGUAGAGGACACCAACACCUCUGGGACUGUCUCCAUGACAACACAUCAGCAUAUCCUGCCCUCAGAGCCCUGGAGACCCUACCCUACAUUCGUGUACCACUUAUAAUAAUCAUUCUUGAUAUUCUGUAACUGAUUAUUCAGCAUCUUGAAAUCAUGAGAAAAUUAAAGACCAAUGUUGUUUACAUUUCCCCUGUGGUCUGACUUUUGUGGGUGCUUAAAAGUCAUAUUAUGAACCUUUCAACCACAAAACCCAAAAUCGGGUUUUGCUUCCCACCUAAUAGGAGACGUUCUCACCUAAAAACUUGCUACCACUAUGAAAUAAAAACUUUGUACCCAUAUUUUCUUCUUGCUCCUUUCUGCCUCCUGAGCAACCCUGGUGCUUCCCCAUGUGCUCCUGUAUGGCACAGUGUGCUCACUUCCUGUUGGGGACUGUAAGUAAUAAAUCUUCUUUCAGUGGCAUUGAUCUCUGAGUAUGUCAUCACUCAGUCAAUGUAAUAUACAUUUAUCAGUUUAAUGU